RNAcentral lists this unclassified non-coding RNA (206 nucleotides) under Hevea brasiliensis (rubber tree). The record is from RNAcentral. Lineage: Eukaryota; Viridiplantae; Streptophyta; Magnoliopsida; Malpighiales; Euphorbiaceae.
GUGAAGCCUUGGGCUGCAUUGAAGAGAGGCUGCAUCCAAAUUUUUUUCCAUAUUUUUGGUGGAUAGGCAAUAACACAGUUGAUAGAAAUGUGAAGAGCUAGAAAUAAUUGCAAACUCUCCUACUAAUAAGACAGAUAGGCAUGCAAGAAAGAAGAGAAAAGAGAGAUUUUAUUUUCUUCUUCUAAUUCAUCAUAACAUAAAUAAAA